Molecule: ribosomal RNA, 486 nt
Filed under: uncultured bacterium
Lineage: Bacteria
Description: bacterial SSU rRNA
Rfam family: Bacterial small subunit ribosomal RNA
Source: RNAcentral
GAUGAACGCUAGCUACAGGCUUAACACAUGCAAGUCGAGGGGCAGCACUAGGUAGCAAUACUGAGGUGGCGACCGGCGCACGGGUGCGUAACGCGUAUCCAACCUUCCCGAUACUCUUGGAUAGCCUUCCGAAAGGGAGAUUAAUACAAGAUGGUGUUUCAAUUCCGCAUGUUAUUGAAACUAAAGAUUUAUCGGUAUCGGAUGGGGAUGCGUGACAUUAGAUAGUAGGCGGGGUAACGGCCCACCUAGUCUACGAUGUCUAGGGGUUCUGAGAGGAAGGUCCCCCACACUGGAACUGAGACACGGUCCAGACUCCUACGGGAGGCAGCAGUGAGGAAUAUUGGUCAAUGGUCGGAAGACUGAACCAGCCAAGUAGCGUGAAGGAUGAAGGUUCUAUGGAUUGUAAACUUCUUUUAUACGGGAAUAAAACCUCCCACGUGUGGGAGCUUGUAUGUACCGUAUGAAUAAGCAUCGGCUAACUCCGUG